AGCAUCCAUUACAUCCUCUCCUGUAGGGAAGGAGAAGGAAAAGAAAGAGAAAAAGGAAGACAUUGCCACUCCCCAAACCGUAAGGGAGUCACAAGCAAGGACAAAGUGAAUGGGGACCAUUUGGAAACUGGAUCCUUUCCUCCCCGGGAGGCCACCCGGAAUCCUCCUCCUCCUUUCACACCUCAGAAGCUGGACUGUGGCUUAACAGCUAAAUUUUAAAAUUUUCCGACAUAAAGUUUUCCCGAAAUCUUAUCUGUUUCGUCUCUACAGUAUAUGCAGGUGGUGGUAUCUCAGCAGAGACUGGCUAAUCCUGGAACUUGCCUCACAGUUGACUGCUGGCCAGCGCCCAAGGCUGGGAUGGGGAAAGCGGGGAGCAGCUUGAGCAGAGCCAGUUUCAAAAUUGUGAAUCCAAGAGUGUGGCCACAUGUGAGCCUUGGCGGAUGGCCUGCAGCCCUGCUUGCGGGUGGGAAGGGCUCUGUCCAGGCCAGAGGGGUAGCUCAGGCACCAGGGCACCUUUCUGUUGUCUGAUGACUCCCAGGAUUCUGUGAAGGGCAGCAUCUCCCCGUCUCACGGUCCCCCUUCUGCAUCACUGACCCAUCUCACCCCGACACCCACAGGCUCAGGUCCCCUCCGGCUUCCCAGCGCCACUGAUGACUCAGCACAGGCCCAGAUGCCCACUGGAGGGCCUCUAGAGGCCCAGCCUGAGCAGAGGGACGGGCAGGAUGACAGGGCUGCCCCAGGGGCAGCUUCCUGGAAGAUGUUUUAAAGACAGAGCCCGGCUUCCAAGCCCGGUCUCUUGUGAUCUUAAUUUGUGGCUUUGUCUGAUGGGAUUCGCUUCCCUCUGCAUCUUUGGCUGUUUAUUUGGGUAAAGGAUAUUCUCUGCCCUUUCAUGUCUGAGUGGUUUCCUCCUGCUUGUGUUCAC
This is a non-coding RNA of Vicugna pacos (alpaca), 922 nucleotides long. The record is from RefSeq and is a predicted model, not a curated record. NCBI's taxonomy places the organism in Eukaryota, Metazoa, Chordata, Mammalia, Artiodactyla, Camelidae.